GGUGAGAUGAUACUAGUGUUGGAGGGUUUCCGCCCUUCAGUGCUGCAGCUAACGCAUUAAGUAAUCCGCCUGGGGAGUACGACCGCAAGGUUGAAACUCAAAAGAAUUGACGGGGGCCCGCACAAGCGGUGGAGCAUGUGGUUUAAUUCGAAGCUACGCGAAGAACCUUACCAGGUCUUGACAUCUUCUGCCAACCUAAGAGAUUAGGCGUUCCCUUCGGGGACAGAAUGACAGGUGGUGCAUGGUUGUCGUCAGCUCGUGUCGUGAGAUGUUGGGUUAAGUCCCGCAACGAGCGCAACCCUUAUUACUAGUUGCCAGCAUUCAGUUGGGCACUCUAGUGAGACUGCCGGUGACAAACCGGAGGAAGGUGGGGACGACGUCAAAUCAUCAUGCCCCUUAUGACCUGGGCUACACACGUGCUACAAUGGAUGGUACAACGAGUCGCGAAACCGCGAGGUUUAGCUAAUCUCUUAAAACCAUUCUCAGUUCGGACUGUAGGCUGCAACUCGCCUACACGAAGUCGGAAUCGCUAGUAAUCGCGGAUCAGCAUGCCGCGGUGAAUACGUUCCCGGGCCUUGUACACACCGCCCGUCACACCAUGAGAGUUUGUAACACCCAAAGCCGGUGGGGUAACCUUUUAGGAGCUAGCCGUCUAAGGUGGGACAGAUGAUUAGGGUGAAGUCUAAAAGGGGGGAACCAAAAGAAUCAAAAAAAAAAACUUUU
This 723-nucleotide ribosomal RNA is filed under the name Pediococcus acidilactici. RNAcentral's name for it is "bacterial SSU rRNA". It matches the Rfam family "Bacterial small subunit ribosomal RNA", at positions 801 to 1533 of the family's 1533-position model. The record is from RNAcentral. Lineage: Bacteria; Bacillati; Bacillota; Bacilli; Lactobacillales; Lactobacillaceae.